This is a long non-coding RNA of Aricia agestis (brown argus), 497 nucleotides long. RefSeq lists it as uncharacterized. The transcript has 2 exons. NCBI's taxonomy places the organism in Eukaryota, Metazoa, Arthropoda, Insecta, Lepidoptera, Lycaenidae. The record is from RefSeq and is a predicted model, not a curated record.
AAAAAAACCCUCUGUGAUUGGCCCGUUUAUCUAAAAAACAUGAUGACACUUGACAGUUAUGAUGUUUUUCACUUGUCAACACUUAGCGUUUUGCCGAGCAUACGUUACGUUGUUUCUGCGAUAUCUGGAUUGUCUUUAUUUUAUAAACCUUGCUUGCCCCUGGAUUUAUCUGCCUUCUGUGACGACUCUGACCCUUGCUUGCCCCUGGACUUAGUAUCUGCCUUCUACGACGACUUGUAUUUUGCUUACGGACAACGACUGCCUUACGAUUGUGAAUUAUUGUGAAAAUGGAAACGCAACGCACGCGCAUCUUGUGUGUAAAUUGCAACAUCUGCGUGAACACUCUUCGCCGAUAUCGGAUCCUUGACCAGAACACACGAUUAUGUUCUUUACUGUGCAUUUGGGUGUAUCCGCAAAUCAUAACUGAAGAUGACUAUGUUUGUGAAGCUUGUUGGGAGUUAGCAAUAGCUGCAGUUAAUGACAAUAUGCAGCAAAAC